This 190-nucleotide ribosomal RNA is filed under the name Trichoderma harzianum. Its description in RNAcentral is "partial large subunit ribosomal RNA". It matches the Rfam family "Bacterial large subunit ribosomal RNA", at positions 626 to 845 of the family's 2925-position model. Lineage: Eukaryota; Fungi; Ascomycota; Sordariomycetes; Hypocreales; Hypocreaceae. The record is from RNAcentral.
AAGUUAACGUUAGAUGCGAGAUAACACGUAGUUAAACCGAACGUUAAAAUAACGAUAUAGUGUCUAAAGUUAGACCCGAAGCCUGGUGAUUUUACCAUAGUCAGGAUUAUAAAAGUCCGAACCGGUGAUUGUAGCAAAAAUCUCGGAAGAACUGUGGUAGGUGUAGUGAAAGACAACACUGACUAGGAUA